ACUCCUACGGGAGGCAGCAGUGGGGGAUAUUGCACAAUGGAGGAAACUCUGAUGCAGCGACGCCGCGUGAGGGAAGAAGGUUUUCGGAUUGUAAACCUCUGUCUUCGGGGACGAAACAAAUGACGGUACUCGAGGAGGAAGCCACGGCUAACUACGUGCCAGCAGCCGCGGUAAUACGUAGGUGGCAAGCGUUGUCCGGAAUUACUGGGUGUAAAGGGAGCGCAGGCGGAACUGCAAGUUGGGUGUUUAAUCUACGGGCUCAACCCGUAUCAGCAUUCAAAACUGUGGUUCUUGAGUAAUGCAGAGGUAGGCGGAAUUCCCGGUGUAGCGGUGGAAUGCGUAGAUAUCGGGAGGAACACCAGUGGCGAAGGCGGCCUACUGGGCAUCAACUGACGCUGAGGCUCGAAAGCAUGGGUAGCAAACAGGAUUAGAUACCCUGGUAGUCCAUGCUGUAAACGAUGAUUACUAGGUGUGGGGAG
Molecule: ribosomal RNA, 479 nt
Filed under: uncultured bacterium
Lineage: Bacteria
Description: bacterial SSU rRNA
Rfam family: Bacterial small subunit ribosomal RNA
Source: RNAcentral